AACGAACGCUGGCGGCAUGCCUAACACAUGCAAGUCGAACGAGACCUUCGGGUCUAGUGGCGCACGGGUGCGUAACGCGUGGGAACCUGCCCUUAGGUUCGGAAUAACUCCCCGAAAGGGGUGCUAAUACCGGAUAAUGUCUUCGGACCAAAGAUUUAUCGCCUUUGGAUGGGCCCGCGUUGGAUUAGCUAGUUGGUAGGGUAAAAGCCUACCAAGGCGACGAUCCAUAGCUGGUCUGAGAGGAUGAUCAGCCACACUGGGACUGGGACACGGCCCAGACUCCUACGGGAGGCAGCAGUGGGGAAUAGUGGACAAUGGGCGAAAGCCUGAUCCAGCAAUGCCGCGUGAGUGAUGAAGGCCUUAGGGUUGUAAAGCUCUUUUACCCGGGAUGAUAAUGACAGUACCGGGAGAAUAAGCUCCGGCUAACUCCGUG
This 433-nucleotide ribosomal RNA is filed under the name uncultured bacterium. RNAcentral describes it as "partial 16S ribosomal RNA". It matches the Rfam family "Bacterial small subunit ribosomal RNA", at positions 29 to 507 of the family's 1533-position model. The record is from RNAcentral.